RNAcentral lists this transfer RNA (92 nucleotides) under Streptomycetaceae bacterium MP113-05. RNAcentral's name for it is "Selenocysteine transfer RNA". It matches the Rfam family "Selenocysteine transfer RNA". The record is from Rfam by way of RNAcentral. Lineage: Bacteria; Bacillati; Actinomycetota; Actinomycetes; Kitasatosporales; Streptomycetaceae.
GGAGGCGGGCAGGCGCCUGGUGGCCCUCACGGUCUUCAACACCGAUGUGGCCGGGCAACCCGGCCAGGCGGGUUCGAUUCCCGUACGCCUCC